GCAAAACAAGUACCUAACCGAUUUGUAAGGUAAACAAAUGUAAAUAAUACGUAUAAUAAUGAAUCCUGUAAUUGUUGUGUAAACUAAACCUCUUCAAGAAUCUCAUCUAAACACUUGUUCAAUAUACAUGUAUUAAUGUUGAAAUGUUUCAAUUAAUUCAGCUAAUAGUGGGAGAGAAAAGAGAGAGGAGGUGACCUUAAAUUAUCGGCUUUUCUUCAUCUCAUCUUCUCGCCAUUUCAAUCUCUUUCUUAAGUCAUCUUUUUUUAUUUUUCAUCUCAUCUUUAUCAUCAUCAUCAUCUUCUUCUUCUUCCUCCUUCAAGGAACCAUUCUUAUGUGUUUAGUGUCAAUAAUAUUUUAAAAGCAAAGUAAACAAAUAUAAAUAUUCAAAUAAAAGAAAACAACAAAACACAAAAAAACUCAAUAAAUUAUUGUUCAAAUGGUCAUUUCAUCUUCUAUCAGAAAACAAAGAUCCAGUCCAAAAGGGAAAAGUAAAAGGAGAAACAAAAGCGAGACCCUGAAGUAAUAAGAUUUAACCAUUAACUGGGUAUAAAAGAGUUCAAAACUGCAACGCUGGUAAUGACCAUGAUUAAACAAGGAAAGCCAAUUGAUAAAUUAUGAUUAUAAACUGUUUCUUGUUUGUAGUCUGUUUCUUACAGCAUUAAGAUUAUCAAGACUGAACAAGUACCAAUAUAAAACGUAAUAAUAAAAAGCUAAUGAUUGGGUUAAGAAACAAAAA
Tetranychus urticae (two-spotted spider mite) is the source of this 736-nucleotide long non-coding RNA. RefSeq lists it as uncharacterized. The record is from RefSeq and is a predicted model, not a curated record. NCBI's taxonomy places the organism in Eukaryota, Metazoa, Arthropoda, Arachnida, Trombidiformes, Tetranychidae.